UGUGCACAUGUGUGCAUCUCUCAGUGUUUAGUCCCUCGCGGCAGCACUCUUUGGACUGCUUACAGCCGCAACAUUAGUCAACAAAAGUGUUCGCUCCCAGCUUCACCCCCUCUCCGUCAAAGCCCAAAGAACCAGGUGCACAGGUGAAGCAAACAAAUAUAUCACCACUUCCGCUCAAACCGUCAUAAAAACGCCCACCACCUACAAUAUAAGUGCACAACCU
Long non-coding RNA from Etheostoma cragini (Arkansas darter), 223 nucleotides. RefSeq lists it as uncharacterized. The transcript has 3 exons. The record is from RefSeq and is a predicted model, not a curated record. NCBI's taxonomy places the organism in Eukaryota, Metazoa, Chordata, Actinopteri, Perciformes, Percidae.